AUAAAUCAAAAUGGAUUCAUUCAAAUUCAAGGUUCAUUCAAGAUUAAAUUCGGAUUCAUCUUUGGAAGGAAACCUCUUUCUUAAAGCACAAGUUACAUAAAUCUAUUCAAAAGGCCAUUUCCAUAAGAAAUCCAAAAUAAAAAAUCACAUGUUUUGACCUAGGGUUGACUUUUUGGUCAAAUAGUUGACCAAAGUCAACUACCUAAACCUAAGACAUAAUUCCACUUAUUCUUCAUUCACAAAGCCUCCAAGUCUUCAAAGCCCUCAAAUUCUUCACAAUUUUUGAUAUGACUCACACCUUGAAUCCAUGCCAUGCCUUGAUCAAGCCUUGCCACCACCGUGCCAAGUCACCCUAGUUACCUGCAACAAGCAAAACAUAAACAUGAUGCCACAAUUCAAUAAGUCAUGCCAUGCAUAUUGUCGCCAUUCAAAUCAUAACACAAACCAUAUAAAAGCCAAGAAACAAGUCAAUCCAAUUACCAUAUGACUCAAUCACCAAUAACAUAACUAAUUCAUACAUUUCACCAUGCAACCUACUGCAUUUCCAAGUUCACUAAUUUGACAUUCCAUGUCCUCCAAACAUGCUAUAACAGGCCAUUAACUUCUCCAUUUUCACUAACCAUCAUUAACAUACCAAGCUAAUAUGACUAAAACCUCAUAACAGACUUCUUUUCCAAAAUUGUUAUGACUUUUCUAACAUAUCUCAAUCCAACUAAUUCAGUCAUAAUAUUACCUACUAUACAAAUUGCCAAUUUCAAAUCACUGACACUUGAUUAACUUCUUCACUAGCAGUUCCAAUUAACUCCACUAAUCAACUUAAGUAACUACACUAACUAAUUUUAACAUUAGUUCAACUUCAAUUCAAUAACAUUUCAUCUUAACAUUUACUAAGAGUCAACUAAACAUCAACUACAGUUCCAAUACACUAAUCAAAUCAUUUCAUUAACAAUAGUUCUAAUAAUUCCAACAGCUAACUCUCAUUUCACUAAUGUCUAAAUCCAAAAUAAUUCAUAGUUCACCAAAUAGUUGCAAGGCAGUUCAUUGACACAUUUCAAUAGGACACUUUUAAAUAAAAGAAAAAUAAGCUAACACUAACCAAUUACUCCAUUCACUAACAUUUUCCAAUUCAAUUCCAUAACCGUAAGAACUAGAUAUGCUAACAGUCCAGUUUCAUUGAAAUGCAAAUGUCACGAAAUUCUAACUUCAUAACCGACCUCCAAUUCAAACAAAUAACACUUCCAAUAGUGAAACUAACAUAGUUACAAACUCAUAAUUCACUAACUUUCUUCUUAACUUCCAACUAACUCUAACUGUCAACAUUACUCAUAACUAACUAUAGCUUCAACAUUCUAACAAUUCAACUAACACUUCAAUUCCAACUAUCAUUAACAUAAGGUUAAUAGAGUCAGAAUUCCUAACAAACUUUCCUCUUGAUAUUACCUAACGAUAACAGUGCCCUAACCCUCUAACAACCAUUGCCUCAAGCCUGCCGGAAAUUGUUACACCAUCUCUCUCUCUAUCUAUCUAUUUAUCUAUUUAUCUAUCUAUCUAUGAAUUGAAAAUAAGUGGAACCAAUAUAGGUGAUGGAUAAACCUUGGCCAUUUCCAAGCAUUACUUGAUCUGAGCCAAAAGUUGAGAUG
RNAcentral lists this long non-coding RNA (1640 nucleotides) under Lathyrus oleraceus (garden pea). RNAcentral's name for it is "Pisum sativum (pea) long non-coding RNA (PSAT_LNC004101)". Lineage: Eukaryota; Viridiplantae; Streptophyta; Magnoliopsida; Fabales; Fabaceae. The record is from RNAcentral.